AUGCAGUACUACCUGCCCCUCUUCGGCUCCUUCGACAACUUCCUCCGGGCGCUCCAGCGCUCCUCCUGCCUACUCUCGUCGGACCUCGGCAAGGUGAUCAAGCCCAAUGUCGUGUUCCUGCGAGAGUGCUGCGGGUUAGGUGACUGCGAUAUUGUCAAUCCGUGUGUCGCUGUGUCGAGGAUGCUGGCCACCAACCCGGAGCACGUCCGUGCGAUGGUGGCAUGUGCUGACAGAUUAGGUGUGCCGCGUGGCUCUGGGAUGUUCAGGCAAGCGCUGCAGGCUGUCGCGUUUCUCAGUGAGGACAAGAUCGCCGCCAAAGUGGACUACUUGAAGAACACCUUCAGGUGGUCUGCUGCUGAGGUGGUCAUUGCUUUGUCUAAGGCUCCGAUGCUGCUCAGGAUUUCUAAGGACAUGCUACAGCGCAAGUCCGAGUUCCUGCUAUCUGAGGUGGGGUUGGAGCCCAUGUACAUUGCUCAUUGA
This 480-nucleotide ribosomal RNA is filed under the name Triticum aestivum (bread wheat). RNAcentral's name for it is "partial small subunit ribosomal RNA". Lineage: Eukaryota; Viridiplantae; Streptophyta; Magnoliopsida; Poales; Poaceae. The record is from RNAcentral.